CCUACGGGAGGCAGCAGUGGGGAAUAUUGCACAAUGGGGGAAACCCUGAUGCAGCGACGCCGCGUGAAGGAAGAAGUAUUUCGGUAUGUAAACUUCUAUCAGCAGGGAAGAAAAUGACGGUACCUGACUAAGAAGCCCCGGCUAACUACGUGCCAGCAGCCGCGGUAAUACGUAGGGGGCAAGCGUUAUCCGGAUUUACUGGGUGUAAAGGGAGCGUAGGCGGUUUAGCAAGGCAGAAGUGAAAGCCCGGGGCUAAACUCCGGGACUGCUUUUGAAACUGGUGAACUAGAUUGCAGGCGAGGUAAGUGGAAUGACUAGGGUAGAGGUGCAAUGCGGAGAUAGUAGGAGGA
This 350-nucleotide ribosomal RNA is filed under the name uncultured bacterium. Its description in RNAcentral is "partial 16S ribosomal RNA". It matches the Rfam family "Bacterial small subunit ribosomal RNA", at positions 338 to 705 of the family's 1533-position model. The record is from RNAcentral.